UGCCCAGCAACUCCUAUCCCUACCUCCUCGUGGUACCGGCCGGAAACUAUGAGCAACCUUAGGGAAGAUCGAGUAACCAACCCCGGUAAGAACUUUGGUCGUAGGCUGACAGGGAAGA
Aedes albopictus (Asian tiger mosquito) is the source of this 118-nucleotide non-coding RNA. NCBI's taxonomy places the organism in Eukaryota, Metazoa, Arthropoda, Insecta, Diptera, Culicidae. The record is from Rfam.